Long non-coding RNA from Suricata suricatta (meerkat), 1192 nucleotides. RefSeq lists it as uncharacterized. Lineage: Eukaryota; Metazoa; Chordata; Mammalia; Carnivora; Herpestidae. The record is from RefSeq and is a predicted model, not a curated record. The transcript has 2 exons.
CGCCGGGCCGCGGGUAGAGCGCGCGAGAGGAGCGGCGCGGGGGCGCCCCCCUCGGCCGGGCGCUCGGGUUACAGCCCCGGCUCCCUGGCUUCCCCGCCCGCGCCUCGCCGGUUCGCCCGCGCCGUGAGAGACAUUGUAACGGAACUGGGACGCCAGCGCUGCAUUGUGGGAGCUUUUAAAGUGGCGGGGAGUGCGGCCCGGCCGCUCGGGCCCGCCGGGCCAAGCCCACCCCGGAGCUCCUCGCUCGACCUGCCACCCCUCGCCCCGCCACACGCCCCCGACCGCCGAGGCCUGUGGUCCCGAAAAGCCAGAAACGGUGAGGUGACCAGUGCCUACGGACUCUCACUGAAGCAAAAUCUUCCAGAGCCCGGGGUGAGACUUGUAAAACUGCCCCCUGCGGUCAUUUCGGAAAGUAGGAGGCUUAUUCUGCAGACGCUUAAAAAUGAAAAGAAAAAAAAAAAAAGGAAAGAAAAAAAAAAAAAAACCCUUCCAUCCCCCAAGGACUGGGUUUGAAUUGCUUUUCAUCUGGAGUGGCAGUGAUUCAGCGACCCCCUUCUCAGCGGCAGGCAGUGACAGAGACAGGAGAUGAAAAACACAGCGAAUGAAUCAGACCCACUGGACAAAAUUCAGUCUUCGGACCAGGCUUGUGCUCACACAGACCCACAACUCAGCAACAGCUAUUAAUUUGGAGGGAGAUGGAGUGAAGAUAAUGGCCGAGAUAUAAGAAAGCAUUCCAGUUAUAAAAUACCCCUUUUAAUUCUCCAGACACUGGUUUUUUUUUAAAAUCAAAACAAGGAUAUUAAAUUUGAAGCCCAACUUGUUACAGCUCAUCUUACCGAAGGCCUGAUUUGUUUUGAGUUUCUGUUUGUUGCUUCCUCUUGUUUUUUGACCUUUAGUUAUUGCACAGCUCAUUAGUUCCUUUGCCUCUGAGGUGAACUGAGGAGAAAGAGAGGUGGUGAGACUCAAAUUUGGCGAUAAACAUUUGGAGGAUUUGAGGACAAGGAGAGUUUCAAAUGCAAAACCUGAGGGAAUUUUAUUUAAGGUGAUUCCUUAGGGUAUGGACCCUCUUCUCAAGAGGACUUUUCCAGACUUAACAUUUCCUAAGCUCUCAUUCCCUUGCCAACCUUUCAGUCCGCUGAACAACAUCAGUCACCGCCUAAUUGCCAAAUCUAAUGGAAAAUUUUAAUCUCCA